UGUGCUGUGAGGCAUGCUGGAGGUAUCAGAAGUGCGAAUGCUGACAUAAGUAACGAUAAAGCGGGUGAAAAGCCCGCUCGCCGGAAGACCAAGGGUUCCUGUCCAACGUUAAUCGGGGCAGGGUGAGUCGACCCCUAAGGCGAGGCCGAAAGGCGUAGUCGAUGGGAAACAGGUUAAUAUUCCUGUACUUGGUGUUACUGCGAAGGGGGGACGGAGAAGGCUAUGUUGGCCGGGCGACGGUUGUCCCGGUUUAAGCGUGUAGGCUGGUUUUCCAGGCAAAUCCGGAAAAUCAAGGCUGAGGCGUGAUGACGAGGCACUACGGUGCUGAAGCAACAAAUGCCCUGCUUCCAGGAAAAGCCUCUAAGCAUCAGGUAACAUCAAAUCGUACCCCAAACCGACACAGGUGGUCAGGUAGAGAAUACCAAGGCGCUUGAGAGAACUCGGGUGAAGGAACUAGGCAAAAUGGUGCCGUAACUUCGGGAGAAGGCACGCUGAUAUGUAGGUGAAGUCCCUCGCGGAUGGAGCUGAAAUCAGUCGAAGAUACCAGCUGGCUGCAACUGUUUAUUAAAAACACAGCACUGUGCAAACACGAAAGUGGACGUAUACGGUGUGACGCCUGCCCGGUGCCGGAAGGUUAAUUGAUGGGGUUAGCGCAAGCGAAGCUCUUGAUCGAAGCCCCGGUAAACGGCGGCCGUAACUAUAACGGUCCUAAGGUAGCGAAAUUCCUUGUCGGGUAAGUUCCGACCUGCACGAAUGGCGUAAUGAUGGCCAGGCUGUCUCCACCCGAGACUCAGUGAAAUUGAACUCGCUGUGAAGAUGCAGUGUACCCGCGGCAAGACGGAAAGACCCCGUGAACCUUUACUAUAGCUUGACACUGAACAUUGAGCCUUGAUGUGUAGGAUAGGUGGGAGGCUUAGAAGUGUGGACGCCAGUCUGCAUGGAGCCGACCUUGAAAUACCACCCUUUAAUGUUUGAUGUUCUAACGUUGACCCGUAAUCCGGGUUGCGGACAGUGUCUGGUGGGUAGUUUGACUGGGGCGGUCUCCUCCUAAAGAGUAACGGAGGAGCACGAAGGUUGGCUAAUCCUGGUCGGACAUCAGGAGGUUAGUGCAAUGGCAUAAGCCAGCUUGACUGCGAGCGUGACGGCGCGAGCAGGUGCGAAAGCAGGUCAUAGUGAUCCGGUGGUUCUGAAUGGAAGGGCCAUCGCUCAACGGAUAAAAGGUACUCCGGGGAUAACAGGCUGAUACCGCCCAAGAGUUCAUAUCGACGGCGGUGUUUGGCACCUCGAUGUCGGCUCAUCACAUCCUGGGGCUGAAGUAGGUCCCAAGGGUAUGGCUGUUCGCCAUUUAAAGUGGUACGCGAGCUGGGUUUAGAACGUCGUGAGACAGUUCGGUCCCUAUCUGCCGUGGGCGCUGGAGAACUGAGGGGGGCUGCUCCUAGUACGAGAGGACCGGAGUGGACGCAUCACUGGUGUUCGGGUUGUCAUGCCAAUGGCACUGCCCGGUAGCUAAAUGCGGAAGAGAUAAGUGCUGAAAGCAUCUAAGCACGAAACUUGCCCCGAGAUGAGUUCUCCCUGACUCCUUGAGAGUCCUGAAGGAACGUUGAAGACGACGACGUUGAUAGGCCGGGUGUGUAAGCGCAGCGAUGCGUUGAGCUAACCGGUACUAAUGAACCGUGAGGCUUAACCUUACAACGCCGAAG
RNAcentral lists this ribosomal RNA (1700 nucleotides) under Shigella sonnei. RNAcentral's name for it is "bacterial LSU rRNA". It matches the Rfam family "Bacterial large subunit ribosomal RNA", at positions 1257 to 2925 of the family's 2925-position model. The record is from RNAcentral. Lineage: Bacteria; Pseudomonadati; Pseudomonadota; Gammaproteobacteria; Enterobacterales; Enterobacteriaceae.